This 1764-nucleotide long non-coding RNA is filed under the name Canis lupus familiaris (dog). RNAcentral describes it as "lncRNA (ENSCAFG00040011808.1)". Lineage: Eukaryota; Metazoa; Chordata; Mammalia; Carnivora; Canidae. The record is from RNAcentral.
GCCUUUUGUCCUGUCAAGCACCUGCGCCCCAUCCCAGAUACGACGAAGGCUGUGGCCGGGGCAGGGGUGGGGGGAGGCGAGAAGCCUCAGAGCCGGGACCACAGUGAUGGCAGGGACCAUCCUUCGUCUCAUGUGUCCUCGCUCCAUCUAAAUAGGGCCCCUAACCGGCGCUGGUGAGAGGGGGAGCGCCGGGCUCCCCCGUGUGCGGUCAGCGGGGCUGCGCAGGCCACCGAGGCCCGAGGCCCGGCUGAGGGCUCAGCCCCCGACGGCAGCCUGAGCGCGACUCACCUGCGGGUGCGAACCUCCCUGUGUCCUGCCAAGAACAGAGAAUCUCUGAUUUUCUACCGUGGUUUGUCUUAGUUGCCUCUCAAUCAAUAAGUUGCCUUAUUGAUUCAUUUACUUUUUGCCAUUCUUUUAUUGUGCUUUUUUUAAGGAUUUUAUUUAUCCAUAAGCAGAGACACAGGCAGAGGGAGAAGCAGGCUCCCUGCAGGGAGCCCCAUAUGGGACUCGAUCCUGGGUCUCCAGGAUCACGCCUUGGGCUGAAGGCAGAUGCUCAACCACUGAGCCACCCGGGUGCCCCUUAUUAUACAUUUUUAUGGUAAAUUGUCUCAGGCAGGAAAUAAACAGAAAGACAGGGAGGGAGGGAGGUGCGGGGCGCAGGCUUGAUGGCCCGGCCCGCAGAGGACAGGGCACCUCGCUGCCCAGAUGGCGCCGCCGCCUGCCUUCCUGCCAAGGACGGGACAAGCCGCAAAUUUCCCGCCGACCAUGUGUGAUCUCUGUGGUCUUCCUCCCAAGCUCUUCCUCCAGCCACCCUCGACUGCAAAGGCGGCUCUACUCCUGGCUCUCCAGCACCAAGCGGCUUCAAGAAAGAGAAAAUAAGGACACUAGGCCUCUGGGCCAUGGAGUGGCCCCAUCAGGAAGCUGACGGGGAGUAAAAUGCCACCUACACGGGGCCUCUGUGUGGCCUUGAGUGAGUGUGUCCCAACGAGCUUCGGAGUUUUCACCUGGGCCACAUAGGUGCUGUGGGACAGAGCGUCCCGGGUUUCUCCGGGUGCCAAGGAACCGAGGGCCCGGGCCUGCCUUUGAGAGCUGGUACAAAGCCGUCCUCCUCCUCCUCCAGGGCUGCGAGGUGGCAGGUCUUCCUCCCUCUCCUGGCAUCAGGGCACCAGGCAGCAGGGACAGCACUGGGGCCUGAGUGACAAGGAGACGAGCUGGAAAAGGCUGUUUGCAGGGAGGAGGAGCAGCCCAGAACCACCAACGCCCUGCGUGCAGGGCCCAACCCGCACAGGGUCCCAGGGGACCCGGACCCGGACAGGGCGGCCCUGCAGAGAUGCCGAGCAUUCCUUCCAAAGGGGGGCGAGCCCAGGAAUCUGUGUUUUCCUACCGAUGCUGACCUCAGGCUCCGUCAGCCUCUGAGUCUCCACAGCUGCAUCCCUGGGCUCUAUCAGCCACCAGUCUGCAAGCCACGGAUUGAAGCGCUUUUCAACCAGGAGAUAAGGACAUUGGUUUGGCGACACACAAUAGUCUAGUCUUGUCUUUUCAAGGAAGCUGUGAUUUUUCAAGACACCAGAUUUCUAACUGUACCAACCACUUAACAUCACACACACAUGAAGUGAUGGGCAGGAGUUACACACAUUGAUCUUCUGAACCUAUUUCCUUCCGUCUUUGCACCAUUGUUCCCUUUGUGCCCAACCUUCACGUCAUGAAGGCCACGCAGUCUCUCAAAUCCCGAGGCUACGUAAAGGAACAGUUACCCUGGAGACA